Molecule: long non-coding RNA, 1155 nt
Organism: Artibeus jamaicensis (Jamaican fruit-eating bat)
Lineage: Eukaryota; Metazoa; Chordata; Mammalia; Chiroptera; Phyllostomidae
Exons: 3
Source: RefSeq, a predicted model, not a curated record
CCCUGCCUGCCCCUCCAUCUGCCCCAAGCUUCCAUCCCUCUUCUCUUCCUCCCUCCCUCUCUCUUCCCUCCCUUGUUCUUUUGCCUGCUCUUUGGGGAUUUUUCAGGCAGAAGGAUAUGGGGUCAGGGGGAAAAGACCCUCUAUUUUUCUGUGCACUUUCAUUCUUUCAUUACCUCAAAAGCCAUUUCUGAAGCAUCCCUGAGUUAGACUAUGCUUUAAGUAUGUUUCUACAAAUUAGGUAUUUCUGUCCCAUCUUUACAGAUCAGGAAAGAGUUCACCAUCUAGACGGGCCCACUGACUCCAAAGCCACUGUGCCAGGCUGGCCUCCAGACACGGCUCCAAGCUCACUGCUGAGUCCCCUGCCACCUCAGGAAGAAGGCAAAGCCCCUUGUCCUCCCCACCCCAGGGGCGGGCGUGGGCGGUGUUGUCUCCUAAGGAGAACAUGGGGCUCCUCAGGUUCCCAGGAGCAGGCAGCGGUGAUGGGGCCAGAACUCCGCAGACCUGAGUUCCACUGCUGUCGUGUGGAGGACCAGGAAGCCAACCCCAGGAGGAAACCAGCGUUUGCCGGCUGCUGGCUGAGAUUUGACAGCAGAGACAGUCCAGCCACCCAGAAGCUCUGCCAAGGGCCUGUGUGGAGAUUCCCGAGGCCUCUGGCCAAGCCUCACUCCUCCGCUGCUUGGGCUCACUGAUGAGGCCCCGAUCCAGCGGGUCUGCCUUGCAGGAGGCCAGGGAAAUGGACCUGCAGAGACGAAUGGAGCGGCUGACCACACGUGGAAACUGGACAAGCACAGCCUUUCUCUGUCUUUUAAACUGGUGAACAUGCCUUUGAGGAGCCAAGGAGCGUGUUUACGAGAGGGCUUUUCAAGGUGGCUGGCCCACGCCAGGCCGGCACAUAUGCAGUCAAGAAUGCACCACAGCACACUGCCCACAGAGCAUCUCCGUGAUCCUCAGGACGUUCCUGGCGGCGCUGCAACUUGAUAUGUUUUCAGGCGUAUUCAUCUCGGAUCCCAUUUGGCCUGUGAGCGACCAGUGGGCAGGGUCCCAGGUGUGUGCUGAACUCAGGGACCAGCUCCAACGGUGGCGGCCAGGUGUGAACUCCCGAGGGUGCAAAGGUGAGGAGCACAGCAUCCUUGUAAGGUGCUGAGACACAGGAGA